Cicer arietinum (chickpea) is the source of this 1275-nucleotide long non-coding RNA. RefSeq lists it as uncharacterized. Lineage: Eukaryota; Viridiplantae; Streptophyta; Magnoliopsida; Fabales; Fabaceae. The record is from RefSeq and is a predicted model, not a curated record.
AUAAUUUUAAAGCUCCAUAUUGGGAAAAAAGACCUUGAAGCUCCAUAUAAUUAAGAUAGUGGUGCUGGUUUGUGUGGUCAAGAAGUCCCUGAGGAGGAAAGUGUAGGAAAAUGUAAUGCCUCCACUGCCGCACAUCAUCAGUCACCCGUUGCUGAGUUCUUCAGACGAGUAACAUGAGCUACGCAUGCUCCAGCUCCAUGCGCCCUGUAAGGAAAAGCUGCAUGGAGAAGGGGCAACCAGCUUCAUGCGCUGUAAUACUCGUAGGACAAGUGGUGUGGAUCUUAGAGAUUUAUCUUAAUGGGCUUGGACUUCCAAAGAAGGGCCCAUUAGGUCAAGAAGUGAGGGCUAUAAAAGGAGACACUUAGGGGGAAAAAGGGGCAGAUUUAUUCUAUCUUAAACAAUGUAUUUUUACCAUUGCUAUUUUAGAGUAUUCUUGGAGCUCCUUCUAGGUAGCUCCAUAGGAUAGCUCACCCGUUGUACUUAUGUAUACAUACGUGAACAUGGCUCAAUAGCAAAGUGAAGGGAUUCCCGUAGUCCAUUAAUCAUCGGAUACAAAUCCAAGGGUUUGCCUCAGUUUCAUUUAAGGACAUAUUUUAUCACAAGUCUAUGUUGAGGGAUAAAGUUGCCACACCAAAUGUGUUUGGAGUCUGAUUUGGUAAGGGGUAGGAUGUUGGGAGGCAGUGCAUGAAAAUGUUGGGAGAUGAUAGUUGCUGCUGUGUCAAAACAAAAACGCAGGAUAUUUUUGCCGGUUGUAUAAUUUGUACAGGCUGGUUGCUGAUUGCAUGAUAAAAAACUCUGCAGGCAAGAAGGCAAUAAUUUAAAGUCUCCCUAUUGAUGGCUUGGAAGUAAUGAAGAUUUAGCUGUCAACUCAACUCAUCAUCAGGACAAUGUAUUGUCCAAAAUGUGGCACUAAGGUUAUUUUUAUAUAAAUUACAAAUAAUGUAACAUAAUGUAGAGAUUUAUCUUUUUGUUAUUUUGAUUCAAUUUCUAAAUAUUCACAGCUAGGAGAUUUUUUUUUGCUUCAAGUGAAGCUAGGAAAGAUGAUGUUGUAAGUUUUGGUGAAAAGUGAUUAAUAGGUUUAGUUAGAAUAUCUUAUUUCAAUGUCUUAUUACUAAAAGUGUUGGUCUUAAUGUUGAUUCAAAUGUACUAUUGUGUUGCACAUGGAUUGUGUAAAGCAUACUUGUUUGUUUGUUAUGUAAUUUUUAGAUUCAAUAACUUGAUGAAUUCACCGGUAAUGUUUCACUCCCAAAAAGUUAAUAGAGAAAUGAUGUUUCA